This 549-nucleotide ribosomal RNA is filed under the name uncultured Glomus. Its description in RNAcentral is "SSU rRNA". It matches the Rfam family "Eukaryotic small subunit ribosomal RNA", at positions 548 to 1098 of the family's 1831-position model. The record is from RNAcentral. Lineage: Eukaryota; Fungi; Glomeromycota; Glomeromycetes; Glomerales; Glomeraceae.
UUGGAGGGCAAGUCUGGUGCCAGCAGCCGCGGUAAUUCCAGCUCCAAUAGCGUAUAUUAAAGUUGUUGCAGUUAAAAAGCUCGUAGUUGAAUUUCGGGAUCGACGGGUCGGUCGCGCCUCUGGUGUGUACUGGCCCUAUCGGUUUCUCCCUUCUGACGAACCACGAUGUCAUUAAUUUGGUGUCGUGGGAAAUCAGGACUGUUACUUUGAAAAAAUUAGAGUGUUUAAAGCAAGCAUUCGCUUGAAUACAUUAGCAUGGAAUAAUGAAAUAGGACGUUUGAUCUUAUUUUGUUGGUUUCUAAGAUCGACGUAAUGAUUAAUAGGGAUAGUUGGGGGCAUUAGUAUUCAAUUGUCAGAGGUGAAAUUCUUGGAUUUAUUGAAGACUAACUACUGCGAAAGCAUUUGCCAAGGAUGUUUUCAUUAAUCAAGAACGAAAGUUAGGGGAUCGAAGACGAUCAGAUACCGUCGUAGUCUUAACCAUAAACUAUGCCGACUAGGGAUCGGAUGAUGUUAAUUUUUUAAUGACUCAUUCGGCACCUUACGGGAAAC